CUGAUCUGAUCGAAAACCCUUAUUAGUCAAUAAAUCUCUGCUCAAGCCCCCUGUAGCUAAUUUCCAAGAAGAUUGCAGCAGCGGUUUAAUUUGCGGAGUAAGCCAUGUUUACCCGGCUGUUUGGAAAACCUAAGCAGGAAACGAAUGCUCUAACUACGUUAGACAAAUUAAAUGAGACUCUUGAAAUGCUGGAGAAAAAAGAGAAAGUACUUGUUAAAAAGGCUGCUGCGGAAGUUGAAAAGGCCAGGGAAUUCACCCGGGCAAGGAACAAAAGAGCGGCUAUUCAAUGUUUGAAGAG
This 298-nucleotide unclassified non-coding RNA is filed under the name Hevea brasiliensis (rubber tree). The record is from RNAcentral. Lineage: Eukaryota; Viridiplantae; Streptophyta; Magnoliopsida; Malpighiales; Euphorbiaceae.